RNAcentral lists this ribosomal RNA (253 nucleotides) under uncultured bacterium. Its description in RNAcentral is "partial 16S ribosomal RNA". It matches the Rfam family "Bacterial small subunit ribosomal RNA", at positions 524 to 776 of the family's 1533-position model. The record is from RNAcentral.
UACGAGUGGUGCAAGCGUUACCCGGAAUUACUGGGUGUAAAGAGUUCGUAGGUGGAUAUGUAAGUCAGAUAUGAAAGACCGGAGCUCAACUCCGUGUUUGUAUUUGAAACUAUAUGUCUAGAAUUAGGGAGAGGUAAGCGGAAUUCUAAGUGUAGGGGUGCAAUCCGUAGAUACUUAGAAGAACACCAAAAGCGAAGGCAGCUUACUGGAACUAUAUUGACACUGAGGAACGAAAGCGUGGGGAGCGAAAAGG